AAGCCUACGGGGGGCAGCAGUGGGGAAUAUUGCACAAUGGGCGCAAGCCUGAUGCAGCAACGCCGCGUGAGGGACGACGGCCUUCGGGUUGUAAACCUCUUUUAGUAGGGAAGAAGCGAAAGUGACGGUACCUGCAGAAAAAGCACCGGCUAACUACGUGCCAGCAGCCGCGGUAAUACGUAGGGUGCAAGCGUUAUCCGGAAUUAUUGGGCGUAAAGAGCUCGUAGGCGGUUUGUCGCGUCUGCUGUGAAAACUGGAGGCUCAACCUCCAGCCUGCAGUGGGUACGGGCAAACUAGAGUGCGGUAGGGGAGAUUGGAAUUCCUGGUGUAGCGGUGGAAUGCGCAGAUAUCAGGAGGAACACCGAUGGCGAAGGCAGAUCUCUGGGCCGUAACUGACGCUGAGGAGCGAAAGCAUGGGGAGCGAACAGGAUAGAUACCCCAGUAGUC
Molecule: ribosomal RNA, 447 nt
Filed under: uncultured Cryocola sp.
Lineage: Bacteria; Bacillati; Actinomycetota; Actinomycetes; Micrococcales; Microbacteriaceae
Description: bacterial SSU rRNA
Rfam family: Bacterial small subunit ribosomal RNA
Source: RNAcentral